AGUCGAAAUCCGCUAAGGAG
This 20-nucleotide small nuclear RNA is filed under the name Arabidopsis thaliana (thale cress). RNAcentral describes it as "snRNA_12350". The record is from RNAcentral. Lineage: Eukaryota; Viridiplantae; Streptophyta; Magnoliopsida; Brassicales; Brassicaceae.